ACAAUCCCGGUGACGUUACAUCUGGAGGACAAGCAAACGCCACAUGUAAAUAACAAAGCAAUAUUAUUGUUAAGGAUGGUUAACUUUAGCGCAAUUUUUGGCUGUUUGAAGCGUGCUGAUACGGAUAAGGAAUUAAGUUUUUAUCGCAUACCAGCUGUGAAAACCAAUGCGAGCAAACUAUUGCAAGAUUUACAAAAGGAACGUCGUUCUAUGUGGCUUCGAAGAAUUCGUUGGGCAGACAUUGAUGAUUCUAAAUGCACGUAUUUACGAGUGUGUAUCCUUCAUUUUGUUACUGGAAAACCAUCAGCUUUAACGGACCAAACUAAUCCAGACUGGGCUCCAUCUCAAAACCUUGGACAUACAUAUGUCGAAAAAGUUGAUGUCGAUCACUAUGCUCGUAUUUCGGAAA
Long non-coding RNA from Xenia sp. Carnegie-2017, 409 nucleotides. RefSeq lists it as uncharacterized. Lineage: Eukaryota; Metazoa; Cnidaria; Anthozoa; Malacalcyonacea; Xeniidae. The transcript has 2 exons. The record is from RefSeq and is a predicted model, not a curated record.